UACGGAGGGUGCGAGCGUUGUUCGGAAUCACUGGGCGUAAAGGGCGUGUAGGCGGUCCGCUAAGUCUGAUAUGAAAGCCCGGGGCUCACCCCCGGAAGGGCAUUGGAAACUGGCGGACUCGAGUCCCGGAGAGGAAGGUGGAAUUCCUGGUGUAGCGGUGAAAUGCGUAGAUAUCAGGAGGAAUACCGGUGGCGAAGGCGGCCUUCUGGACGGUGACUGACGCUGAGACGCGAAAGCGUGGGGAGCAAACAGG
RNAcentral lists this ribosomal RNA (253 nucleotides) under uncultured bacterium. RNAcentral describes it as "partial 16S ribosomal RNA". It matches the Rfam family "Bacterial small subunit ribosomal RNA", at positions 524 to 776 of the family's 1533-position model. The record is from RNAcentral.